GAGUCUCCUGAAGGAACGUUGAAGACGACGACGUUGAUAGGCCGGGUGUGUAAGCGCAGCGAUGCGUUGAGCUAACCGGUACUAAUGAACUGUGAGGCUUAACCUUACAACGCCGAAG
Molecule: ribosomal RNA, 118 nt
Filed under: Salmonella enterica
Lineage: Bacteria; Pseudomonadati; Pseudomonadota; Gammaproteobacteria; Enterobacterales; Enterobacteriaceae
Description: partial 23S ribosomal RNA
Rfam family: Bacterial large subunit ribosomal RNA (bases 1-106)
Source: RNAcentral